CUUAUGUUUGAAGGGAAAGCAAAGCUGCGAGAUUUUCGUCAAAGAGGAGCCGCAGGAACCGGACUGUCUGUGGAGAGACCACGCGUCGAAAGAGUACGUGUUGCAGGUGCGGCACGCCAACGGGAAAGUCACCUACGUGCCCCGAAGCACCCUGACCUUGCAUCCGCACUGCGCAUUCGUUGUGCGCUUCCGCCGCUGGCUCGACGGCUGGAGGAUCUACGUCAACGACGUUCUGGUGGCACACGGUGACGGCCAGUCAGUCUGUGAGAGUAGCCUGCAGCUGGUGGUGAACGGAUGCUGGGACGUCAAGUCGGUGCACAUCCCAGCCGCAACGCUCCCGUCUCCGUGCAGCAUAAAGUUGGCCGCACCUUUGGGCGUCGGCGACCGUGUCAACAUCUUCGGAACUCUGAACGCCGCGCCAGGCAGGAACAUGUG
Long non-coding RNA from Ixodes scapularis (black-legged tick), 435 nucleotides. RefSeq lists it as uncharacterized. NCBI's taxonomy places the organism in Eukaryota, Metazoa, Arthropoda, Arachnida, Ixodida, Ixodidae. The transcript is spliced from 3 exons. The record is from RefSeq and is a predicted model, not a curated record.